This 1086-nucleotide ribosomal RNA is filed under the name Triticum aestivum (bread wheat). RNAcentral describes it as "partial small subunit ribosomal RNA". The record is from RNAcentral. Lineage: Eukaryota; Viridiplantae; Streptophyta; Magnoliopsida; Poales; Poaceae.
AUGCAGAUUUGGCAUCGACCAGGAAGGGCGCUGCCUACCGUGCAGGCAUUUCAAGAGGGACGUGGUGAGGCCGUCGAGGUCGAGCAUGGAGACGGUAUACCUCCCCCAGUCGCCCCACCCGGAGUUGGCGUUGGCCUCCUCGUGCGCGCUGGCCACGUACACGCAGUUCCUCCGCACCCCGUUCACCCCGUUCGCCUCCACGCAGAAGCCGCGGACGUGGUCCACGAACACGGCGCGGUCGCCGAGCCCGCCGCCGCCGACCUCCGACCACCCGGCCGCCAGGCUCCCGCGGUCCGCGCGAAAGGCCUUGAAGAGGCCCUUCGAGCGGUGGCAUCCUCCGUGCACGACGAGGAGGAGCUCGGAAGCGGACGACACGACGAGCGUGGACUCGCGCAUCCACGAGCGGUCGGGCAUCACCAGAUCUGGCGGCUCGAUCGCGGCGACCACGGCGAAGGUCGCGCCGUCCACGGCCGUUACCUUGUUGGCGCGCUUGUCGAGGACGUAGAAAGCGCCGUCGCAGUAGGUGAUGCUGCCGACGCGAGCUGGCGGCGAGAGGUCGGCGGGGGUCCACGACCUGCCGUCGCCCUGCAGCCGGCAGAAGAACGCGCCCUUACCCUGCGAGACCAUGACGGCGUCAGGCGACCGGUCCCAGACCAUGUCACGGAGGAUCAUCUGAUACCCGUCGUGGAAGGAUGGCGGCAACGCGGGCAGGCUCUCCGACGCGCCCGUGAAGGGGUGCAGCAGCGUGGCCGAGAAGUCGUCGGCCACGGCGAGCGUCCAGCCGCGCGGCGAGGCGAAGAGGAAGGAGCGGCCGCACGCUGCGGGCAUGGGGAUCUCCGUGAUGCUGUCGUCGGCGAGGGACCAGAGACGGCGGUUGACGCGGGAGUUCUGCUGGGAGGGCAGGAGGAGCAGGGGCACGCGGCGGCGGGCGGCGUGCUCCGCCGAGGCCGAGCGCCAAGAAGGGCACACCGAGCGGAAGCGCGCGAGGUCCGCAUGCUCGGUGAUCCUGUCGGCGAUCCCGGCUACGAGCUCGGCUGGCAGGUCGGACCAGCUCAUGGUGUUCGCGUCUGCGUGUUCUUGGAUUGA